This 540-nucleotide ribosomal RNA is filed under the name Mycolicibacterium chlorophenolicum. RNAcentral's name for it is "bacterial SSU rRNA". It matches the Rfam family "Bacterial small subunit ribosomal RNA", at positions 44 to 601 of the family's 1533-position model. Lineage: Bacteria; Bacillati; Actinomycetota; Actinomycetes; Mycobacteriales; Mycobacteriaceae. The record is from RNAcentral.
GUGCUUAACACAUGCAAGUCGAACGGAAAGGCCCUUCGGGGUACUCGAGUGGCGAACGGGUGAGUAACACGUGGGUGAUCUGCCCUGCACUUUGGGAUAAGCCUGGGAAACUGGGUCUAAUACCGAAUAGGACCACGGUCUGCAUGGAUUGUGGUGGAAAGCUUUUGCGGUGUGGGAUGGGCCCGCGGCCUAUCAGCUUGUUGGUGAGGUUACGGCUCACCAAGGCGACGACGGGUAGCCGGCCUGAGAGGGUGUCCGGCCACACUGGGACUGAGAUACGGCCCAGACUCCUACGGGAGGCAGCAGUGGGGAAUAUUGCACAAUGGGCGCAAGCCUGAUGCAGCGACGCCGCGUGAGGGAUGACGGCCUUCGGGUUGUAAACCUCUUUCGCCAGGGACGAAGCGCAAGUGACGGUACCUGGAGAAGAAGCACCGGCCAACUACGUGCCAGCAGCCGCGGUAAUACGUAGGGUGCGAGCGUUGUCCGGAAUUACUGGGCGUAAAGAGCUCGUAGGUGGUUUGUCGCGUUGUUCGUGAAAUC